UUAGGUCACCAUAGCGGCAAGGUCCACCUGAUACCAUCCCGAACUCAGAAGUUAAGCCUGCUAGCGCCGACGAUAGCGUCAGUAAAAAUAGGGAGUGGCUCUUU
RNAcentral lists this ribosomal RNA (104 nucleotides) under Mollicutes bacterium PWAP. Lineage: Bacteria; Bacillati; Mycoplasmatota; Mollicutes. The record is from RNAcentral.